This is a long non-coding RNA of Labeo rohita (rohu), 479 nucleotides long. RefSeq lists it as uncharacterized. NCBI's taxonomy places the organism in Eukaryota, Metazoa, Chordata, Actinopteri, Cypriniformes, Cyprinidae. The transcript is spliced from 3 exons. The record is from RefSeq and is a predicted model, not a curated record.
GCAAUAUUAAAAUGCUUGAGAAUCCUUCUCGCGAUAUCAGCAUAAUAGAACUGAUCUGUGUUUAAAUGAUUUCGCUGCAGCUAAACGCAUUAACCUGCUUUCUAUAUAAAAUAAAAACAGUUUUGUGAAAUUCUAAUUUUCUAAAUCUGAAAUUUCAUUCUAGAUAUGUGAGAUUCUUGAUGGUGCAGAUGGACAGCUUUGAAAUAGAGAAGUUGAAGGAAAGGCAGCUUGAUACCUUGGUUAAAACCUUUGAAGAUUUCACAAGACUUCAGGAAGCUACAUCCAGAGGCAGACUUUUUGAAGACUGGACUACAAUUGCAGACCAAAUUGUUGCCUAUGCCCAGCAAGAUGGAAAGGUGCAUUAAGAGCUGGGUGACAUGACUUCAGAUGCUAAAGGGGAGAGUGCUUUCAAAGUCCUGCCCAUUCUGGAGGAAUGGUCCACAGAACCACAACCACAGAAUUCUGGAGGCCAUGCAUUG